RNAcentral lists this non-coding RNA (1036 nucleotides) under Pongo abelii (Sumatran orangutan). Lineage: Eukaryota; Metazoa; Chordata; Mammalia; Primates; Hominidae. The record is from RNAcentral.
GAACACAAAAUGGCGACACGUGGUUAGCAUUCGUCGCCAACGAGAAAUUGGGGUCGGCCCGAAAGCUCUAGAAUGCACCCCUAUUCCUCCCCGGGGCCAUUCCCGCUCAACGAGUUUUAUGACCUAAAAAACCCCACAGGCUGGUCUGAAGGUCGGAGGCCUAAUUUUAACGCGUUUUCCUCCCUUUAAUUUGAAACGGGAACGCGAAUAACUAAAAUGUGGGCACAAUAUUUAACCUCUUGCUUUUUUAAAGCUUAAUAAUGGAUAGUAGGGGGCAGUAUCAAGGGAUAAUUUGGGUCCCCACAGUACCAAAGCAUUUAGAAACCUCUGCUUAAUUUAAGGAAUGAGAUAAAUUACUGCUUUUCUAGAUUUGGUAGCAUGGGCUGUUGUGCUGGAGAGAACGAGAGCUACGAAGAGACUAGAAUGCCUCUGACUUUUUCAUAGGACAGUUGGCCGAGGAAGACACUUAAAGAUGAAGUGCUUAAUUCAAGGUCACAGAAUGUCGGGGAUGGACCUCCAGAUUUCCUUACUGACCUGCAUUAUCUUGUGGAUACCUGAGUGAAUUCCACACCACCCAUUUUAUAGAUGAAGCCACUGAGACGUGGAGCAACUGACUGAGUAGUCACUGCCCCACCCCUGCCUGGAGCCUCACACAUGACUUCUCUUAGUGACCACAGGUUGGUUGAGGGGUUUAACAAGGCUAAGAAGGUGAGACGUGGUCUUGUAACACAGUGGUUAAGAAUGUGACUUUGGAGCCAGCCUGCUAGGGGCUGAAUUCUGACUCAGCCAUUUAUUAACUGUGUGACCUUAGGGAGGAGGACCUGGUUGAUAGAAGAAUUUAUCUCAUAGUCUUAACAUCCACUGUAAUUCCGAACUUUGAGGACGAUAGAGAUCAGUGGGCUUUGACUGCCCAGCAUGCAGUCUCCAUUCUUAGAAAGUGAACUCAUUUCUUUUCCAGGUAGGUUCCCAAGCCUGUAAAAUGUAAGUCUUAUGUUGCUGAGGGCCAUCUUGCCACCCCGAGGGGAACGCUGCCUGA